This 272-nucleotide long non-coding RNA is filed under the name Lathyrus oleraceus (garden pea). Its description in RNAcentral is "Pisum sativum (pea) long non-coding RNA (PSAT_LNC009162)". Lineage: Eukaryota; Viridiplantae; Streptophyta; Magnoliopsida; Fabales; Fabaceae. The record is from RNAcentral.
AUUCAUCAUGUAGAUAAGCAUAGCAUAUUGCAUAAUAAAUCGCGUAGCAUUUCCAUGAUUAUGGAGCAUUACGCUGAAAAAAUAUCGUGCAUCAUUAUUGCAAGCAUAAGCUAGUCUCAGACCGUGGUUACCGUUUGAGAGGUGGUUUUACCCGAAGGUGAAGGUGUUAUUCCGAGGAGUUUGGCAUCGUAUUUUAGUCAGCCGUACUUCCCCAGUAGUGCGAUAUUGGAGGAUGAGUUUCUGUCGAGCAGAGAUGGGAAUGUUAAUACAAG